Molecule: ribosomal RNA, 481 nt
Filed under: uncultured fungus
Lineage: Eukaryota; Fungi
Description: eukaryotic LSU rRNA
Rfam family: 5.8S ribosomal RNA (bases 69-222)
Source: RNAcentral
AAAAGCCACCUAUAAACUACGGUUUUAGGGGGUGAUCAAACCAAGGUUUUAAAAACCAAAUACGUUAAAACUUUCAACAACGGAUCUCUUGGUUCUGGCAUCGAUGAAGAACGCAGCGAAAUGCGAUAAGUAAUGUGAAUUGCAGAAUUCAGUGAAUCAUCGAAUCUUUGAACGCAUAUUGCGCCCAUUAGUAUUCUAGUGGGCAUGCCUAUUCGAGCGUCAUUACAACCCCUUAAGCCUUGUAGCUUAGCGUUGGGAAUCUACCCCUCACCUGGGGGGUAGUUCCUUAAAUUCAGUGGCGGAGUUAUAGCACACUCUAAGCGUAGUAGUUUAACUCGCUUUCAGGGAGGCUGUAGCUGCUUGCCGUAAAAACCCCCUAUAACUUAUAGUGGUUGACCUCGGAUUAGGUAGGAAUACCCGCUGAACUUAAGCAUAUCAAUAAGCGGAGGAAAAGAAACCAACAGGGAUUGCCUCAGUAACG